Molecule: long non-coding RNA, 786 nt
Organism: Octopus sinensis (East Asian common octopus)
Lineage: Eukaryota; Metazoa; Mollusca; Cephalopoda; Octopoda; Octopodidae
Exons: 2
Source: RefSeq, a predicted model, not a curated record
GAGAGAGAGAGAUCAGGUAAAUAAAGAGAGAGAGAAGAGAACUAUUACAAAAACUGAAAUGUAUUUUGCGUAUGCGAUUGUGUGUGUGAAUGUAUGUAUGUAUGUAUGUAUGUAUGACUAUGUGUGUGUGUGUGUGUAGAAGUAUUAGUGUGUGAAUGAGUGAGGCUGUGCUUGUGCAACUGAGGCUGGGCAAUGACCAAUCAAAUAGGAGAGUAAGUUGACGUUUUAGAGAGAGAGAGAGAGAUAUAGAAGGAAAGAGAGAGAGAGAUAUAUAGAAGGAAAGAGAGAGAGAUAGUGUAGGGGGAGGAGAGAUGGGGGUGGGUGGUAGCAAGGUGGUAAAGAGAGAUAUAGAGAUAGAAGCAACAAACUGAUGCAGCAGUGAUGUGUGUAUACAGUGCGGUCUGACUGACGAAGAGAGGAAAGAGAAAGAGAGAAAUAAGCGAGAGAGAGAGAGAAGGGAAGACAAAUAAGAACAGAGAGAGAAAGAGAGAGAGAGAGAAAGAGAGAGAGACAGACAGAGGAAACGGGGUUCAUACAUAUAAGAAAAAGGAAGAUUGCAGAGAAAGGGAGAGAGAAGAACUAUGGAUUACAUGUCGUAGAAGAAAGAGAAGAAGAAGAAGAAGAAGAAGAAGAAGAAGAAGAAGAAGAAGAAAAGCAAAGGAGAUGGUGGUGUUUAACAACCACGUGUGUAUUUAGGAUAUCCAUAUUUUAAUUAUAUAUUUUAUUUUGUCACUGCUGGUGACAGGGGAAAUUACAAAAGCUUGCCAGUAGUGACAACUAAUUCAA